Molecule: transfer RNA, 72 nt
Filed under: Salmo salar (Atlantic salmon)
Lineage: Eukaryota; Metazoa; Chordata; Actinopteri; Salmoniformes; Salmonidae
Also listed under: 1 other name
Rfam family: tRNA
About the family: Transfer RNA (tRNA) molecules are approximately 80 nucleotides in length. Their secondary structure includes four short double-helical elements and three loops (D, anti-codon, and T loops).
Source: Rfam by way of RNAcentral
UCCGGUGUAGCUCAAAUCGGUAGAGCAUGGCGCUUGCGACGCCAAAGGUCAUGGGUUCAAUUCCCGCUGGGG